Molecule: ribosomal RNA, 355 nt
Filed under: uncultured bacterium
Lineage: Bacteria
Description: bacterial SSU rRNA
Rfam family: Bacterial small subunit ribosomal RNA
Source: RNAcentral
AACGAACGCUGGCGGCAUGCCUAACACAUGCAAGUCGAACGAGACCUUCGGGUCUAGUGGCGCACGGGUGCGUAACGCGUGGGAAUCUACCCUUAGGUUCGGAAUAACUCAGGGAAACUUGAGCUAAUACCGGAUGAUGACUUCGGUCCAAAGAUUUAUCGCCUAAGGAUGAGCCCGCGUAGGAUUAGCUAGUUGGUGAGGUAAAGGCUCACCAAGGCUACUAUCCUUAGCGGUCUGAGAGGAUGAUCAGCCACACUGGGACUGAGACACGGCCCAGACUCCUACGGGAGGGCAGCAGUGGGGAAGUAUUGGACAAUGGGCGAAAGACCUGAUCCAGCAAUGCCGCGUGAGUGAU